RNAcentral lists this microRNA precursor (67 nucleotides) under Mesocricetus auratus (golden hamster). Its description in RNAcentral is "miRNA (ENSMAUG00000006427.1)". The record is from RNAcentral. Lineage: Eukaryota; Metazoa; Chordata; Mammalia; Rodentia; Cricetidae.
GAGCACAGGCUGCUGUGGGUGCCCCACAUAUACAGGUCAGCUCCUCAGCUGCCUCUUGCCAUCGCAG